GGUAGGAGUGGCAACAAAUGCUGGGCUCAAAACACAGGGAUUUCUUUUUCUUUUAGACGUAUCUGGAAGAAUAGGAGAAUCGAAGAGAGACGAUAAGACGGUGAUAGUGGAGGAGGAUGAUGUCGACUCUAACUACCUGCACGUCCCCAGCCUGCAGCUAUCCCUCACUGUAAAAGGGAAGCUUGUGAAACAAGAAGAAGAAGCCCAAACUUCCCACAUCAAAAGACUCACCAUCAGAGAUGCAGUAACAACUGGGUAGCCCGGAGAGUGCAGCCAAUGAUGACCAUUCUCUUUGACGGGCGGCUGAGGGCACAGGGAAGAAGGCAUGGCCACUCUGAGUUCAGUUCAACUCAACAAUCAGUAUCAAAAAGCUUUUACUCGUGAAAACACCUACAGUGUAAGGAGCAUUGAACCGGACACUUGGGAAGACACGAGGUUUAGGUAAGACAGGGUCCCCGUCCUCGUGGGGUUUUCAGUCUAAUAAGCACGCGCGCGCGCACACACACACACACACACACACACACACACACACACACACACACACACAGAUAACUGUAAUAGAAGAAUCCCAAAGCCCUCAGGUUCAUAGAUUUAUAGCAGGAAGGGAUCUUCAAG
This 615-nucleotide long non-coding RNA is filed under the name Phascolarctos cinereus (koala). RNAcentral describes it as "lncRNA (ENSPCIG00000032179.1)". Lineage: Eukaryota; Metazoa; Chordata; Mammalia; Diprotodontia; Phascolarctidae. The record is from RNAcentral.